Molecule: ribosomal RNA, 786 nt
Filed under: Klebsiella oxytoca
Lineage: Bacteria; Pseudomonadati; Pseudomonadota; Gammaproteobacteria; Enterobacterales; Enterobacteriaceae
Description: partial 23S ribosomal RNA
Rfam family: Bacterial large subunit ribosomal RNA
Source: RNAcentral
CGCGGCAAGACGGAAAGACCCCGUGAACCUUUACUAUAGCUUGACACUGAACACUGGUCCUUGAUGUGUAGGAUAGGUGGGAGGCUUUGAAGUGUGGACGCCAGUCUGCAUGGAGCCGUCCUUGAAAUACCACCCUUUAAUGGCUGGUGUUCUAACGUGGGCCCCUGAUCGGGGUUGCGGACAGUGUCUGGUGGGUAGUUUGACUGGGGCGGUCUCCUCCUAAAGAGUAACGGAGGAGCACGAAGGUCAGCUAAUCCUGGUCGGACAUCAGGAGGUUAGUGCAAUGGCAUAAGCUGGCUUGACUGCGAGCGUGACGGCGCGAGCAGGUGCGAAAGCAGGUCAUAGUGAUCCGGUGGUUCUGAAUGGAAGGGCCAUCGCUCAACGGAUAAAAGGUACUCCGGGGAUAACAGGCUGAUACCGCCCAAGAGUUCAUAUCGACGGCGGUGUUUGGCACCUCGAUGUCGGCUCAUCACAUCCUGGGGCUGAAGUAGGUCCCAAGGGUAUGGCUGUUCGCCAUUUAAAGUGGUACGCGAGCUGGGUUUAGAACGUCGUGAGACAGUUCGGUCCCUAUCUGCCGUGGGCGCUGGAGAAUUGAGGGGGGCUGCUCCUAGUACGAGAGGACCGGAGUGGACGCAUCACUGGUGUUCGGGUUGUCAUGCCAAUGGCAUUGCCCGGUAGCUAAAUGCGGAAGAGAUAAGUGCUGAAAGCAUCUAAGCACGAAACUUGCCCCGAGAUGAGUUCUCCCUGACUCCUUGAGAGUCCUGAAGGAACGUUGAAGACGACGAC